RNAcentral lists this ribosomal RNA (1644 nucleotides) under Salmonella enterica subsp. enterica serovar Kentucky. RNAcentral describes it as "partial 23S ribosomal RNA". It matches the Rfam family "Bacterial large subunit ribosomal RNA", at positions 586 to 2215 of the family's 2925-position model. The record is from RNAcentral. Lineage: Bacteria; Pseudomonadati; Pseudomonadota; Gammaproteobacteria; Enterobacterales; Enterobacteriaceae.
GGGUGGGGUGACUGCGUACCUUUUGUAUAAUGGGUCAGCGACUUAUAUUCUGUAGCAAGGUUAACCGUAUAGGGGAGCCGAAGGGAAACCGAGUCUUAACUGGGCGUUAAGUUGCAGGGUAUAGACCCGAAACCCGGUGAUCUAGCCAUGGGCAGGUUGAAGGUUGGGUAACACUAACUGGAGGACCGAACCGACUAAUGUUGAAAAAUUAGCGGAUGACUUGUGGCUGGGGGUGAAAGGCCAAUCAAACCGGGAGAUAGCUGGUUCUCCCCGAAAGCUAUUUAGGUAGCGCCUCGUGAACUCAUCUUCGGGGGUAGAGCACUGUUUCGGCUAGGGGGUCAUCCCGACUUACCAACCCGAUGCAAACUGCGAAUACCGAAGAAUGUUAUCACGGGAGACACACGGCGGGUGCUAACGUCCGUCGUGAAGAGGGAAACAACCCAGACCGCCAGCUAAGGUCCCAAAGUCACAGUUAAGUGGGAAACGAUGUGGGAAGGCUCAGACAGCCAGGAUGUUGGCUUAGAAGCAGCCAUCAUUUAAAGAAAGCGUAAUAGCUCACUGGUCGAGUCGGCCUGCGCGGAAGAUGUAACGGGGCUAAACUGUGCACCGAAGCUGCGGCAGCGACGCUUAUGCGUUGUUGGGUAGGGGAGCGUUCUGUAAGCCUGCGAAGGUGUCCUGUGAGGGAUGCUGGAGGUAUCAGAAGUGCGAAUGCUGACAUAAGUAACGAUAAUGCGGGUGAAAAGCCCGCUCGCCGGAAGACCAAGGGUUCCUGUCCAACGUUAAUCGGGGCAGGGUGAGUCGACCCCUAAGGCGAGGCCGAAAGGCGUAGUCGAUGGGAAACGGGUUAAUAUUCCCGUACUUGGUGUUACUGCGAAGGGGGGACGGAGAAGGCUAUGUUGGCCGGGCGACGGUUGUCCCGGUUUAAGCGUGUAGGCUGGUUUUCCAGGCAAAUCCGGAAAAUCAAGGCUGAGGCGUGAUGACGAGGCACUACGGUGCUGAAGCAACAAAUGCCCUGCUUCCAGGAAAAGCCUCUAAGCAUCAGGUAACAUCAAAUCGUACCCCAAACCGACACAGGUGGUCAGGUAGAGAAUACCAAGGCGCUUGAGAGAACUCGGGUGAAGGAACUAGGCAAAAUGGUGCCGUAACUUCGGGAGAAGGCACGCUGACACGUAGGUGAAGUGAUUUACUCAUGGAGCUGAAGUCAGUCGAAGAUACCAGCUGGCUGCAACUGUUUAUUAAAAACACAGCACUGUGCAAACACGAAAGUGGACGUAUACGGUGUGACGCCUGCCCGGUGCCGGAAGGUUAAUUGAUGGGGUCAGCGCAAGCGAAGCUCCUGAUCGAAGCCCCGGUAAACGGCGGCCGUAACUAUAACGGUCCUAAGGUAGCGAAAUUCCUUGUCGGGUAAGUUCCGACCUGCACGAAUGGCGUAAUGAUGGCCAGGCUGUCUCCACCCGAGACUCAGUGAAAUUGAACUCGCUGUGAAGAUGCAGUGUACCCGCGGCAAGACGGAAAGACCCCGUGAACCUUUACUAUAGCUUGACACUGAACAUUGAGCCUUGAUGUGUAGGAUAGGUGGGAGGCUUUGAAGUGUGGACGCCAGUCUGCAUGGAGCCGACCUUGAAAUACCACCCUUUAAUGUUU